RNAcentral lists this ribosomal RNA (630 nucleotides) under Streptomyces albidoflavus. Its description in RNAcentral is "partial 23S ribosomal RNA". It matches the Rfam family "Bacterial large subunit ribosomal RNA", at positions 587 to 1215 of the family's 2925-position model. Lineage: Bacteria; Bacillati; Actinomycetota; Actinomycetes; Kitasatosporales; Streptomycetaceae. The record is from RNAcentral.
UGCGUCGUGACUGCGUGCCUUUUGAAGAAUGAGCCUGCGAGUUAGCGGUGUGUAGCGAGGUUAACCCGUGUGGGGAAGCCGUAGCGAAAGCGAGUCCGAACAGGGCGUUUGAGUUGCACGCUCUAGACCCGAAGCGGAGUGAUCUAGCCAUGGGCAGGUUGAAGCGGCUGUAAGAGGUCGUGGAGGACCGAACCCACCAGGGUUGAAAACCUGGGGGAUGACCUGUGGUUAGGGGUGAAAGGCCAAUCAAACUCCGUGAUAGCUGGUUCUCCCCGAAAUGCAUUUAGGUGCAGCGUCGUGUGUUUCUUGCCGGAGGUAGAGCACUGGAUAGGCGAUGGGCCCUACCGGGUUACUGACCUUAGCCAAACUCCGAAUGCCGGUAAGUGAGAGCGCGGCAGUGAGACUGUGGGGGAUAAGCUCCAUGGUCGAGAGGGAAACAGCCCAGAGCAUCGACUAAGGCCCCUAAGCGUACGCUAAGUGGGAAAGGAUGUGGAGUCGCAGAGACAACCAGGAGGUUGGCUUAGAAGCAGCCACCCUUGAAAGAGUGCGUAAUAGCUCACUGGUCUAGUGAUUCCGCGCCGACAAUGUAGCGGGGCUCAAGCGUACCGCCGAAGUCGUGUCAUUGCAGCA